This 72-nucleotide transfer RNA is filed under the name Camelus bactrianus (Bactrian camel). It matches the Rfam family "tRNA". From Rfam's summary of the family: Transfer RNA (tRNA) molecules are approximately 80 nucleotides in length. Their secondary structure includes four short double-helical elements and three loops (D, anti-codon, and T loops). Lineage: Eukaryota; Metazoa; Chordata; Mammalia; Artiodactyla; Camelidae. RNAcentral also lists the same sequence under 1 other name. The record is from Rfam by way of RNAcentral.
GAGGGUGUAGCUCAUUGGUAGAGCAUGCACUUAGCAUGCACGAGGGCCUGGGUUCAAUCCCCAGUACUGCCA